UCAGAUAAAAGAAAGAGGCAGAGGGAGGAACUAAAAAAGGGUUUCUGAGGGUGGUUGCCGCCUCUCCAUGCCAAUGAUUUCUAUGAAAAAUCCAACAACCCUCUCUUAUAUACAUAUAUAUGUAUGUAUAUGUAUAUAUGCGCAUGCAUCAAAACAUAGCUGCGUUAUCUAUCGAUAUACUUUUUUUUUUUUUUUGAAAGGCGAAUUUAAGUUGUUAUUCUCCUGAGCUUUGAACUCGGGUUCUCACUGGACCAGAACCUAUAUAUAUAUAUAUCGUUUCUAAUUUUUAUUGUUAUUAUUAUUAUUAUUAUUAUUAUUGUACCUCCAAACCCUAAGAAGAGAGGCUGUGAUGAUUUAUUUAAUAUCUGAGUCGAAAAAUCGGGACAAAGUUUGAGAUUAUUCGUAUCUUGGCGGGGCAUAAUAUUAUAAUCAGAAGAUGGCUAUUAAGUUCUUUUUUAGCAACUUCUGUUUAUUAUUAUUAUUAUUAUUAUUAUUGCAGCCAUGGCGUUUUUAGUCCACCUUGUUCUGACUGUAAAACAGAUCUGAGCCCUCAUUUUCUUACAUUCAUUUAUAUAUAUAAUAUUAAAGUGGAGAACAUGCUUUUGAUUUGUGGUUGAGCUUUUGCUAGUGAAUUAGGAUCAUAUUUUACAAACAAAUGUCUGAGAUUGUAUGCAGGACUGGAUCGACUGUAUUUCGCAGGGUUUUGAGCAGUGAUUUGGGUUCUAGGAGAUUUCCGAUGUGUCCUCCCUUGUUUGCGACUGUGAUAGGUCAGGCUGUAGUUCCAGAUGAGUCUUCUUGUUGACUGAUGGUGAGCGUCAGGUCUGUUUGUGGCCAUUGAUGGAGUUUUGCUUAGUUAAUUUGCAAGCAUUUGCGGGAAUGUAGAUCUUUGGUACCUCUGUCACCUAACAAGUGUAGUUUCGUGGUGAUCUGAAUAUUUGAUUUUUGAUGCUUAAAAAUAUUCCCGUCUUUUUUAAACUUUUAUAUAGUUUUUGUGGAACUAAAGAGCACAAACAAGACAAUUUGUGAGAUAUAUGUGACGCACCUGGAGCAAGUACCAAUGAAAGUGACGAUCUUAGAGUGAGAUUCUUCAAGGUCCAAUCCAUUGUCUUUUAAAGUUUCCCAUGUUUUAUAAUGUGAUAUUUAUAAGCUUGUUGUGAAUGAUUAAUUACUACGAACUGAGCAAGGUUAUGCACUACUCUGAUUCUUGCAGUCUUUUGUUUUAGAUGACCCUGAUAGAAUCCUUUGUCAAACUUGCAAACUCUGAGAACUAGAGAAACGUAAUUUUUUUGUUCGAUUGCAUGCUAGUUCAUUAUCUUUUUAAGUUCA
Long non-coding RNA from Erigeron canadensis, 1326 nucleotides. RefSeq lists it as uncharacterized. The record is from RefSeq and is a predicted model, not a curated record. Lineage: Eukaryota; Viridiplantae; Streptophyta; Magnoliopsida; Asterales; Asteraceae. The transcript is spliced from 2 exons.